Molecule: ribosomal RNA, 255 nt
Filed under: uncultured bacterium
Lineage: Bacteria
Description: partial 16S ribosomal RNA
Rfam family: Bacterial small subunit ribosomal RNA
Source: RNAcentral
UACGUAGGGAGCAAGCGUUGUCCGGAAUCAUUGGGCGUAAAGCGCGCGUAGGCGGCCCUGUAAGUCCGUUGUGAAAGUCAAAGGCUCAACCUUUGAAAGCCGAUGGAUACUGCAGGGCUAGAGUCCGGAAGAGGCGAGUGGAAUUCCUGGUGUAGCGGUGGAAAUGCGCAGAUAUCAGGAGGAACACCGAUGGCGAAGGCAGGUCUCUGGGCAUUAACUGACGCUGAGGAGCGAAAAGCAUGGGGAGCGAACAGG